ACAAACAUCAGAGAGUAAGUACAACUCAAGCAAGGAUCUAGAGAAGAGGAAGUAACGUCUGGUUCAGACUGCACCAGUCAAAUGAUGUUGAAACUGACGUUGAAUCUUCAUGCUUUUCAUUUUUAGAUAUGUGAGGUGUGGCAAUGCAAAUGUUCCCUUUUUCCAUUGCUUUUAAUCUCCCUGCAACUUGAGAACACACCAAUCCAACAACCAGAUUUACACACAUUUUUACAAUGACUUUAUCCGGGUGUUUAACGUUUCUCAUGCUAUCAGUUUCUGUGGUGCGCAGUCAGACUCUGACUGAGUCUGAA
Labrus bergylta (ballan wrasse) is the source of this 311-nucleotide non-coding RNA. NCBI's taxonomy places the organism in Eukaryota, Metazoa, Chordata, Actinopteri, Labriformes, Labridae. The record is from RefSeq and is a predicted model, not a curated record.